AGCUCUAUGUAGAGGUGCGCGCGAGAGCGGGAGGGGCAGGACGCACAGGGAGAGAAACGCACAGAGAGGGAACUUGGGGAGACUUUAAGAGGAUUACCUCAGCCACUGGACGGCUGCGUCUUCUCUAGACUCCAUUGCUAGGGAAGGAAGUUUUAACUAUCGGUUUACUUGUGUUUCAUCUCAUCUGUAAAAAUGACCGGUGGCCCUUUGGGCACUGCGUUGACAGUGGCUUUGCUCGCCUGCACUGUUCAGUGUAUGCCGAAACAUAGGAGACACGCUCAGGAACACUCGGUGUCAUCCGUGUCCCAAGAUGGUUGUGUUGAGAGUGGGCAGCUUUAUGGAGUUGGAGAGCAGUGGGAGCGCAGUUAUCUGGGCAGCACACUCCUCUGCACUUGUCAUGGAGUUUCUGGAAUAAAGUGUAAAUCAAAGCCUGAAGCUGAGGAAACCUGCUAUGAUAAAGUAAAUGCUCGCUCCUAUCGGGUUGGAGAGACUUAUGAGAGGCCCAAGGAUGGGAUGAUCUGGGACUGCACUUGCAUUGGCUCCGGCCGAGGGAGAAUCAGCUGCACCAUUGGGAAUCGCUGUCAUGAAGGAGGGCACUCCUACAAGAUUGGAGACACAUGGAGGAGACCCCAUGACACUGAAGACUACAUGCUGGAGUGUGUCUGUUUGGGAAAUGGAAAAGGAGAGUGGACCUGCAAACCUGUAGUGGAGCGCUGUUAUGAUAAUGCAGCUGGCACAUCCUACAUGGUUGGUGAGACCUGGGAGAAACCCUACCAAGACUGGAUGAUCGUGGACUGCACAUGCCUAGGAGAAGGAAGUGGACGUAUUACAUGCACAUCCAGAAAUCGCUGUAAUGACCAGGACACACACACUUCUUACCGGAUUGGAGACACGUGGAGCAAGACGGAUUCUCGCGGGCACCUGCUACAGUGUUUGUGUACUGGAAAUGGACGUGGAGAGUGGAAAUGCACGAGGCAUGCGUCACUGCACACCGCUUACCUGGAUGGUUGUGUUGAGAGUGGUCAGCUUUAUGGAAUUGGAGAGCAGUGGGAGCGCAGUUUUCUGGGCAGCACACUCCUCUGCACUUGUCAUGGAGUUUCUGGAAUAAAGUGUAAACCAAAGCCUGAAGCUGAGGAAACCUGCUAUGAUAGAGUAAAUGCUCGCUCCUAUCGGGUUGGAGAGACUUAUGAGAGGCCCAAGGAUGGGAUGAUCUGGGACUGCACUUGCAUUGGCUCCGGUCGAGGGAGAAUCAGCUGCACCAUUGGGAAUCGGUGUCAUGAGGGAGGACACUCCUACAAGAUUGGAGACACAUGGAGGAGACCCCAUGACACUGAAGACUACAUGCUGGAGUGUGUCUGUUUGGGAAAUGGGAAAGGAGAGUGGACCUGCAAACCUGUUGUGGAGCGCUGUUAUGAUAAUGCAGCUGGCACAUCCUACAUGGUUGGUGAGACCUGGGAGAAACCCUACCAAGACUGGAUGAUCGUGGACUGCACCUGCCUAGGAGAAGGAAGUGGACAUAUUACAUGCACAUCCAGAAAUCGCUGUAAUGACCAGGACACACGCACUUCUUACCGGAUUGGAGACACGUGGAGCGAGACAGAUUUUCGCGGGCACGUGAUACAGUGUUUGUGUACUGGAAAUGGACGUGGAGAGUGGAUAUGCGGCACUGCACACCACUAGCCUGGGUGGUCAUCGUCCAGUCCAGCCCAAUCCUCACCCCAUCCAAUGGAAAGCGCCAGCUUCUGCAGAGGCAAAUCAAGAUGAAGCGGGGGCCCCAGGCAAAAUUAAAAGAUGAAGCCCUUCUAAAAGAUUAUUUUAGAAGACCUCGUUCUCGAGUCAAGAACCAUUUCUGUCGGACGCGUCCGAUUCGAGAACCGAGGAGCUGAUGAUACUGCACAUGUGUUGUGUGAUUCAGCGUGAAGCAGACUGACACACAGAGCUUCCGAACCUAAUUGGUUGCGUCUGAACUGAACUGGUUCUUUUGGUGAUUGAUUCUGAACUGAUUCUGUGCCAAUGUUAUGAGCACGGGUGA
Molecule: RNA transcript, 2032 nt
Organism: Carassius gibelio (silver crucian carp)
Lineage: Eukaryota; Metazoa; Chordata; Actinopteri; Cypriniformes; Cyprinidae
Gene name: fibronectin-like
Exons: 13
Source: RefSeq, a predicted model, not a curated record